GAUGAACGCUGGCGGCGUGCCUAAUACAUGCAAGUCGAGCGAACAGAUGAGGAGCUUGCUCCUCUGACGUUAGCGGCGGACGGGUGAGUAACACGUGGAUAACCUACCUAUAAGACUGGGAUAACUUCGGGAAACCGGAGCUAAUACCGGAUAAUAUAUUGAACCGCAUGGUUCAAUAGUGAAAGACGGUUUUGCUGUCACUUAUAGAUGGAUCCGCGCCGCAUUAGCUAGUUGGUAAGGUAACGGCUUACCAAGGCAACGAUGCGUAGCCGACCUGAGAGGGUGAUCGGCCACACUGGAACUGAGACACGGUCCAGACUCCUACGGGAGGCAGCAGUAGGGAAUCUUCCGCAAAGGGCGAAAGCCUGACGGAGCAACGCCGCGUGAGUGAUGAGGGUCUUCGGAUCGUAAAACUCUGUUAUUAGGGAAGAACAAAUGUGUAAGUAACUAUGCACGUCUUGACGGUACCUAAUCAGAAAGCCACGGCUAACUACGUG
RNAcentral lists this ribosomal RNA (497 nucleotides) under uncultured bacterium. RNAcentral's name for it is "partial 16S ribosomal RNA". It matches the Rfam family "Bacterial small subunit ribosomal RNA", at positions 28 to 507 of the family's 1533-position model. The record is from RNAcentral.